Molecule: ribosomal RNA, 582 nt
Filed under: uncultured Pantoea sp.
Lineage: Bacteria; Pseudomonadati; Pseudomonadota; Gammaproteobacteria; Enterobacterales; Erwiniaceae
Description: bacterial SSU rRNA
Rfam family: Bacterial small subunit ribosomal RNA
Source: RNAcentral
ACGGGUGAGUAAUGUCUGGGGAUCUGCCCGAUAGAGGGGGAUAACCACUGGAAACGGUGGCUAAUACCGCAUAACGUCGCAAGACCAAAGAGGGGGACCUUCGGGCCUCUCACUAUCGGAUGAACCCAGAUGGGAUUAGCUAGUAGGCGGGGUAAUGGCCCACCUAGGCGACGAUCCCUAGCUGGUCUGAGAGGAUGACCAGCCACACUGGAACUGAGACACGGUCCAGACUCCUACGGGAGGCAGCAGUGGGGAAUAUUGCACAAUGGGCGCAAGCCUGAUGCAGCCAUGCCGCGUGUAUGAAGAAGGCCUUCGGGUUGUAAAGUACUUUCAGCGGGGAGGAAGGCGAUGCGGUUAAUAACCGCGUCGAUUGACGUUACCCGCAGAAGAAGCACCGGCUAACUCCGCGCCAGCAGCCGCGGUAAUACGGAGGGUGCAAGCGUUAAUCGGAAUUACUGGGCGUAAAGCGCACGCAGGCGGUCUGUUAAGUCAGAUGUGAAAUCCCCGGGCUUAACCUGGGAACUGCAUUUGAAACUGGCAGGCUUGAGUCUUGUAGAGGGGGGUAGAAUUCCAGGUGUAGCG